GAAAUCAAAAGGUAAAAAAACAAGGAAUACAUAAAAAAGAAUACAUUAACAGUUAACGUAUUCUUCUUUUGGAAUUAAUUCUUUGUUUUUCUACCUUUUGAUUUACGUUUUGUGAGACUUUUAAAUUGGUGAGCCAUGACUAGCCAAUCCCGUUACCUAAAUGAAAACUAGUAAUCAGAUGCUGAUCCAAAACACCUGCUGGCUCUUUCUUCAACAAACAUUUGCGACAAGAAAAGAGGAAGGAAGUGAAGAAAAACUCAAGUGGGGGUCAAAGGGGGUCGUGGACCGAGUGGUGAGUUGGUGAGGAACGCCCGGGGCGUUGGACACGAUGUUGGCACCUGCAUGAACCUGACGUCGAAGCCUGGGCACCAGGUUAGUAGAGUCAGCACCCCGCCGUGUCAGACGGGCGCGGGGGGUUUACCGGUUCAUCGAAGGACACGGGGGAUUCAGUCAUAUUAGGCAACAGUUUCAAUCAACUUUUAUACAGAAGAUAUCUCUAUCUAUCCAUCCAUCCAUCCAUCCAUCUCUCUCUUGCUCUCUCUCUCUUGCUCUCUCUCUCUCUUUCACAUUUGUAAUCCAAUACAUUGUAUAUAUAUAAAAGAGUUAAGUUAACAAACGUCAACAUGGUUCCAGUCGCUUAAUUCAAAUUUGGGAGUUGAUACGCUUGUUGAAGUUGCAUCGGAAAAAAAGAUUAUCACGUCACUUCUGAACAACCUCUUACGACUUAUGUAAUUCCUAGACAAGUUAGUCCAGACAUGUGGCAGAGCAAAAACAAGCAUACUGUCUUUAU
This 790-nucleotide long non-coding RNA is filed under the name Gadus morhua (Atlantic cod). Its description in RNAcentral is "lncRNA (ENSGMOG00000025177.1)". Lineage: Eukaryota; Metazoa; Chordata; Actinopteri; Gadiformes; Gadidae. The record is from RNAcentral.